CCUCUGAGUCCUCGUUCCGCCUGAAAGGAGACUGAGGCCCUUUAGUUUCCUUCCCGCUCAGCACAGUUCUCCUCUGCUUGUUCAGAGCCAGAGCCAAUGGAGGCGGAGACUGGGAAUCAGCAUAGUCUCCGUGCAGUGCACAGAGGCACUGUCUGGAGGUGCCGACCUUGAGAACAGAACUUUGUCCCUCUUGGGUCCCUGUAAUGCAGGGCACACCUGGGACCUAUUUGGGACUUUGCAGGGACAGCUGCCGGUACCUGACAGGCCCGGAGCCUCCGGAUCAUCUGCAGGCCCAUUUGGAUGGCCCUGUUGGGGAGAGGCAGGAGGUGCAGCUGGAGGAGGUAGAGGAAGGACAGACAGCUCGUCUGCACGGAAGGAGGCAGCGCGGAUGUUUGCAGCGACAGAUGGCAGCAUCCGGCAGAGCCCUGGAAGCCGGGUGAGGAGAGGAGGGGAGGCCGGCCAGACUCCUCUGCAGCUCUCAGGCCUCCCGCACAAGCUCAGCCUGCCUGGCACACACGUGGAGAUUCUCCCCUCCCUGUGUGGCGCUAAGGCACCUUGGUGAGCUCCUCAUGGUCCACAUGGGCUGCGAGUGUGUGGGAUGGCCUGGGGCGACUGGAGAAGUCUGUUCACCUGGCCCUUUGGGAGCCAAGUGGAGGAGGCUCCAGAUCAGCCCCAGAAACCCUGUUCGCUGUUCUCAGUGAGGGCGUCUGCCACGAGACUGGGGCCAGAGGGGCCAUGUAGGGAUGAGGAGUGGCGGUGACUGGGAGGUGAGGAUGGCCAGAAAGUGCUAGUCUCCCAUCAUCCCUCUGUCUUGGUGAACUCCGCUGUAUCUUAGAAUCCUGCUUGACCCGGCUCUUCAGGAAGCUGCCCUGGCAGGCCGGGCUGAGCCUGAAGAUGCCUGGCCUGGCUCUGUGGCCUCUGUGAGCCCCGGCCCCUCCUGGCCUCAGUUCUAGCUGGAGGAAACAGGACUCCCUCCUCAUCCUGGGAAGGCGGUCUCUUCCUCUCAGCGGGACUUUGAAGAGGCCGUGAAGAACCCACAGGGCCCUGCAGCAGUGGAACCAGACACCCAGAUUCACCACCCUGGAGUCGUUCCCAGCCUAGCACAGAGCCUGGGAAACAGAUGGAGAAAGCGUAGGGUGGGAGGGCCCAACAUCCUGGGCGGCUGGGGAAAUGACAGCAGCCGGGAUCCCAGCACUUAGCAUGGGUCAGUUAACAAUGCAUCCGGCCCCACCCAGCCUGUGAGGAGCCCCUUCUGUUCCUCACGCUCACACACCUGAAACUGACUCUCUGCUGGGCUCACUUGUCCACACUGCUGCUACUACCACCGCCACAGGGCCAGGAUUAGACCCCAGACAACCUGGACCGGAAGUCCACACUCCCAUCCACGGAACUACAAAACAAAAUGAAAACCAUCUCUCCCUCUGGCAGGGAUGACGGAUAAUAGGUUUGAUGCCAUCAAGUGCUGCUGAGGUCACCUCACCACCACCACCACCACGGGGAGCCCACGUCUGAUUACCUAGGGAGCCCCAAGAGUUCGGGUCAGAGUGGAGCGAACAGCUCUUUCAUCUCAUCUGCGUUUAGGUUGCCAUGCAGGAAAGAGUCGUGCAUUGCUUUGGUUUGUAACUCAUUUAAAAGGAGAAUGGGGGCAGUGAUACAGGGACAGCAUGUGCGAGGCCCGAGUUGCAUCCUUAGCCCAUCCCCCAAACAGAUGGGGGAGUAUGUUGGGGAAAGGGAAUCAAAGAUGGACAGAAUGGAAGGCUCUCAGACAGUUGUCCCUGACCGUGACCUCCUGCAGGCUUUGUCUGGGCGAGGCCUGUUCUUUUAUUGGGCACAUAUGUAUUUUCUGGGGGCCCCUAGGUCCUCGGCUCUGUGCCGGGCUGUGUGCUCUCCCCAGGCACACCCAGGGUGUGUCCCGACAGAGGGGCUCCCCUUCUGUCCCUGUCUGGGCGCUCUGUGGUAACAAGGUCAGGGCUGCAGGGAGGAGCCAGUUCUGGCCAGAGCUCUGAUCUGUGACGGGCUGUUCCCCGGAGCAGCUGCUACAACAACAUUUACUUUGUACAGUGGCCAAGAGAGAGAGCAAGAAAAGGAAGAGAGAGAGAGAGAGAGAGAGAGAGAGAGAGAGAGAGAGAGACAGAGGGAGAGAGCACACAAGCCUACUCUAUUGCAAAAUGUUUCUGACAAAAUCUGGCACUCCUGGUUCUAAUCAAAAUACUGAACUUUGGAACAAAUUAACAUUCCACAGCCCUCACUGGGAAGGAGAAUUCAGCCGAGACGACUUCAGUUCACAACAACAAAAAUAGCUUCUCCCGGGGAAGACACAUUCUGCUAACAAGGUCACUUGUGUUUUGCUUCCCCUGCCAUCUGGCUGAGCGGCAACCAGGGGCUGGCACUGGUACCAGCGUCUUGUGUGGAGAGGGGCUGGGAACCGGGUGGUGCCGCUGAAGGCUUCUCAGCCUCCUGGCAAAGGGUGUAGGCGUGGAGUUACCUUCAGACAGUCCCAGAACUGGGGCAGAUGGAGCCCAGUCUCACCCAGCCGGGCUCAGCUUCGAGCUCCGAGCAGCAGGAGGUGUGACACCAGCACACAGCAACAAGCAGAUCUGGAGGCCAGAAGUGUGAAAUCAAGAUGUUGUCAGGGCUCUGUUCCUUCUGAGACCUUCUGAGACCUUCUUUGCCUCCUCCCAUUUUCUGGCACACCAGUCAUAUUGGAUUAAAGGCCCAAGACUCCAUUCUGACCUCAUCUUGGCUAAUUGCAUCUCCAUGACCCUAUUUCCAAAUAAGGUCACAAUCUCAGGUACUGUGAAUUGGGACUUCAGCAUCUUUUUGCAGGGUUGGUGAGGGACAUACAAUUCAAUCCACAGGCAACAAAGGAAGCCUUAGCUCUUUCUUUGUCUGAAUUUUUUCCCUCUCAUUUUGUUCUCUUAAAGAAUCAUGGCAGGGCCCAGUUCAAAGUUCACCUUCUUGGUUAUUUUUCCUGAAUAACCCAGGAGAAAUGAGUCACUUCUUUGCCUAUCUUUAUAGCCUUUUUGCAUUUCUAUUAAAGAAUCUAUCACAUUGUGUGUAACCUGAGGGCAGAAGCCACCUUAUUCACCUGGGAAUAGAGCUCAGAGUUCCUGAAUCCCAUUUAGAUCUGCUCUAUGGAGUUGAUGUUCCCUAUGGGGAUAUUCCAGUCACAUGUUCAAAACAAAACAAAACAAAAAACUGUGAGUCUGUAGAUAAAUGAAAACAAUGGGGACUCUGUAUUAUUUAGUUUUCUAUUUUAGGCAUUUUAUCACUAAGAACUACUUUGCAUAAACAGGGUUGUAUCUAAAUGUCUUCCUAUGUGAAGUUCCCAUUUUUGAUUGGCUAUAAUAUUUCAACAUGUAAAAAUAGUGUUUUAAUGUAAAUGCAGUAUAAUUGGGUUUCCCAACCUUGCACUGUUGAUAUUCUAGGCUGGAUUAUUCUUUAGCAGGGGGCUGUCUUGUGUUUUGCAGGAUGUGGAGCAGCACCCCAACCUUUAUCAAACAGAUGCUUCUAGCAUUGCUUAAUUCAGUUGCGACAACCAAAAAAUGUUAGUGUCUCCUGGUGUGUGUGUGUGGCAAAAUUACCCCUAGUUGAGAAGAAUGAGAAUAUUCAUUUAGGGGUUGGAAAUCUUAAAGUUGUAAAAAUCAUCCAAAUUUCUCUUUAUCUUGCUUUCUGUUAAAUACUUUCCUGUGUUGUAAGGCUGCUCUGCUCUGAGACCACUGGCACCGUGAGCAGAUGGCAUGACUUGGCUGUCCCCUGCUCCUGCCUCCGUGCACCUGGGACCUGUGGGUGGCCUCGUUUGCAUGGAGGAAAAAGAUAAUAUCCCUAUUUAUUACAAAGACUCAGGCAUUUGAAGGACCCAACCAAUGGUGUGACAUGUGUGGGCACAUGAACUUCACCUUGGAUGCCCCAGAAGUUUCUAGAGCUGACUUCCUUUAACUAGAAGGAAUAUGACUGUGGUCUUAGAAGAAAGACAUUACCUGGAGGAAGUUGAAAGCCAGCAUGCAGAGAAGGAAGACUACGGAAGGGCUCAGGCAGCUACACAGCUCUGCAGAACAAAAUGUUCUUGUCCAGGCCAUGGGGCCACAGGCUGGGACAGAGGGGAGGAACAAUGAUGUCAUGGAAUGAGAAGGAGUUGGGAACACUAUUGGAAUGAAUGUUCCAUUGAUUACACGAGUUGCUGACAAGCAACAGCAGAAAUGGAGCUGGGUGAUCAGUCUCAAAUUCUCCCCCUGACAUUUGCAAGAAAAGUGGUGAACACAUCCCAGACACCCACUUCCUACCCCCGUUAUGUGUAUGAGGUAAGCGAUCUGGCCUUGGACGUUAAAUCUCCUCUCUUAAUAGACUCCUGGACAUGCCAGAAUGUCUGCUGGGUCUGAAUGUCUUAUUUCAAUGCAGGCUCCCAUCUUUUUUCAGUGUGUUUAAUUAAAAAUAAAUAAAGCAGUCCAUUCGGAGGGCUUUUCCUCCCACUGAUGGAUGAGGCGAGUACUCGGGGACUCUUCAGCAGGGUGGACAGCUUGGCAAAGAUGUCUGUGUCCUAAUCUCUGGGACCCGAGAUUAUGUUACCUUCUGCGGCAAAGGGGAUUUUCCAGAUAUGAUUAAAUUAAGGGUCUUGAGCUGAAGAGAUGAUCCUGGAUUAGCUGGGUGGGUCCUCAGCAGAGGCAGGCACUUGCGGGGGAGGCUGGAGGCAGAGCAAUGAUAAAAGCAGAAGUCCGAAAACGAAAACGCAGCACAACAAACUAAGGAACACGGUGACCUCUAGACGCUGGAAGCAGCAAGGACUCGGAUUCUCCCCUUGAGCCACCAGGAGGAACACAGCCUGCAGCUGCAUCCAGACUUCUGACCUCCAGAACUGCAAGCAAAUAAAAGUAUGUGAUUUGGGGCCACCCCGUUUGUGCUCAUUCACUGCUGCCGCAGCCAGAGAAAACCAACACAGAUUUCCACGUUGAGUCUGGGUUUUCCUUUGAGGCUGUGGCUUUUCCUACUGUGAUCGUAGCUCACAGCUGCUGAGUGGGGACAAUGUGUACCAGAUGCUGAGUAGACAUCAUCUCAGUUCUCCCAGUAACCCUGUGGGCCGGGCACUGGCAUUACCCUUAUUCAGGAGAUGGAGGACUAGGCUUGCAACAGUCUGCUGUAACCAGAGGCGGUUUUGAGCCCCAGGGACACUGAGCAAUGCCUGUAGACAUUCAGAUAGUCACAACCAGGUUUGGGGUGCUCCUGGCAUCUAGUGCAGGAGAAGCCAGGGAUGAAUGACAUGUGUGUGUACACAUGUGCAUAUGGGGUGUGUAUGGGGUUGGUGUGUGGCGUGUGUGUGUGUGUCUGUGUGGUGGGGGCCAGGUUAGGGAGAACAGGGGACCUGGCCUCUGCCUCACUUUCCAUCAUGAUCUGCUCCACUGUCCCCCCAAACUGCCUACAUCAGCAAGAGAUGAGAGAGUUACCAGUGUCAUCCCCCUAAAAUUCUACUUUUUCUCACAUUGAUGUCCCCUAUUUCCUGCCCACUAUUAUUGACUGGCACCUCCUCUCUGUUCUCUUCAUGCCUCCCUCCAUCACUGCCUCAGAGCAUACUUUUCUGAUUGGAUGAGGCCCCUGCCGCCAGCUCCGGUACCGAUACAGGUCUCAGCACCAAUGUACACUGGAAAGUGGAAAGUCUGCCCCACCUGAGCAGUGGCUGAGCAGCUUGCUGUUUGCAAAGUGUCACUGCCGGAAAGAAGUGGAUGGCAAGAUGCAUCCUCUACGGGGAUCAUGACCUGACGUGGCCCUCUCGCCUGGUCACCUGGUUAGGCCAAGUCACCAGACAGUCCCUGUGUUCUCACCUGCAAAUUGGGAGUCACUUACUUGAAAUUAAGUAAGAGAUGGAGGAAUCUGUUCCUCCCUCAGAGAUGCAUGAGGUAUUGUGCCACACUGGCUCCUGGCUUCUGGUGACACUGACAUUUCUGGGAUUGUGGCUGCCUUCCUCCCAUCUCUCCCUCUCUUUGUGUGGCCUUCUCUCUCCCAUGUGUCCGAGGGUCAAAUCUCCCUCUGAUUCUCUCUUAUAAAUACUGAUGCUGUUAGGCCCUGCUGGGGUAACCCAAGAUGAUCCUGUCUCAAGAUCCUUAACUCAACUUUUGCCAUUUAAGGGAACAUUCACUCAUAGAACCCUGAAAUUAGGCAACAGAUAUCUUUGGAGGAUCAUUAUUUCAGCCUAGCACAAGGAGGUAGGUACUUUACACAUCUUUACAUUUCAUAUCAAGCCUAAGAAUAGCUAUUAGUUUUGCUGUUUCACAGAUGAGGAAAUUGAGGCUUGGAGACAUUUACUAUGGAAUUUCAGAAAGUUCAUUCCGUUUCUGAGACACCUUGCCAUUUUCAUCUAUAAAAUGAGAAUCGUGCCCUUCCUGACCUAGGCCAGAUGAAAGUAGAGAAUUUUUAUACAAAUUCUUAGCAAAGUAUUAUGCAUUACAGAGAUGCAAGGGGUUAUUUUUUGCCUUGAGUGGAUUUUCUAGAAAGUCUUCACGUGGGAGAGGAGAGAUGACUUGGCUGAGGAUUGUGAGUGAAAUGCCAAAAUAUUUCUAGAAAUCAUCAGUGUCUUAGAGUGCUGAGUCUUCAUUACAAUAGCAAGUGAAAUUCUGAUGUAGAUGCACUUUAAAACAUUCCCUGUUUGAGGAAUCAUGCCUGGAAGCCACUUCCCAAAGAGAGGCAGCAAGAAAUGCUGAAUUCUUUCAAGUUGAAAGUGGGAGAGAUGGCACAUUUUAUUCUUUAGAAUGCUCCUUCUUCGGCUCAUCCUUCUAGGCAUUCUUAACAGGUAUGUUUGAGUUUGAUUGCAUUUGCACCAGGUGCUGUUCACGUCUGUUAACUCUCUGCAGUUUCUGUCAUCUUGGUAAUAGAGAAAGGAUGGUAGGAGCAGCAAGUGAGUGAGAGGUUGCAUAGGUAAGCAGGAAAUUGACUCCAGGAAGAGAAUGGCAGGCACGACAAAGAACAUUUAGGAGGAAGCUAGACGUCUUUAUCAAAAUUGAUUUUUGACUGGACAGGCCUCUGCUCUGCAUACAUGCUAUAUUUAUACAUCUAGAUCAGAUGUGGAAAACAUGGCCACUCAGGACAGAGCCCGGCCAGCACCACAGCAGACAUCACUAAUCAAUCACAGUGACCCAGCUCUCCAGGCACCCACUGCCAGUCAAUGAGCUCUAUCUAUUGCCUAGUACUAUUGUGCUAGUAGAUAAGCCUAGGACAUAAAUUUCACUGCAUUAAUUAACUUACUUAAUUCAAAAGACUUUUUCACCUGCCGUUGUACCCAAUCUUAAGCUGCUUUUUUACUAUUUUAGUGACGCCUGGUGUGUUUGCAACCCAAUAAUACCAGCUACCAAUUGCUUGCUGUGCACCAAGCUCUGUGGAUUGAAUUCUCACAAAUCAUAGUGUUUUAGUUGACUGAACUUCAUUUGAAUAAGUGGAUUUCGGGGAAUAUGUCUGCUGAGAUACUAAACCUUGAUUGCACUGCAGUGCUGGGAUGGAACCGAGGGCCUCGUGCACAAUGGACAAGUGCUUGACCACGGAGCUCCACCUCAGUCCUUUACUGAGCCUUAGACUUUAUCUUCAUGUGCUCUCUAGACAACUCCUGUGUUAACAUUUGAGGCUUGUAUAGGCCAAGCAUCCCUAAUCUGGAAAUCAAAAGUGCUCCAAAAUCCAAAACUUUCUGAGCACUGACAUGCUGCCAUAGUGGAAGUUCAGUUCCUUGUGGCUACGGAACAGAGACCCUGUGUCGUUGCUGGCUGCUCCCCGCUCCGGGCGGCUGCCCACACUCCUUGUCACACAGUUCCUUCUGCCUUCCAGCCAGCGAUGGCACAUGGGCUCCUCGUUCUCAGAAGCUCUGACUUUUCUGUUGCUGACUUUAGAAGCCUUCAAGGGUGGUCCUGCCAAUCCCUGCCACAGCAGCAGCCGUGUUAGUGUGGUUGUAUGUACAGCCCGGGGCAGGAACUCUCACAGGCAGGCUUAGAAUUCUGCCUCCCGCAAGGCUUUUGACCUAAGUGUUAGACCAGGUCUUUUGCUGACCCUGACUUCAAAAUGUUUGAAUGCACAGUUGUGCAAGGAGUUCCCAUAUUGUGGCUGACAUUGAAGAAGAGUUGUUUAAGGUGCGACAUUCUGCAGAUCUAUGGGUACUGCCUACACUGCCUCGUGCUGUUGAUUACUGCAUUGAUGGCUUCAGAAGCUCUCCACGUGUUGAUCAAGACCUUGUUGAACCUUGACAGAGUGAUAAAUUGCAUGCUUGUUUCCCCUCAUGAUUUCGUGGCUCUUUUGAAAGACUACCCCCUUGAUGUGCCCAGGAAAAUUUCCUUUGAUGUGCUAAGUCUGGACAGUUGAGCUUUUAAGGAAUCUAAAGCAGAGAAAAUGAGUACCUGCCCAUCCUGAGGCAGGCUGGCCUCUGUGUUUUCUGCUUGUGGUGAACCUGGGCUGCAAAAAUGGUUUUUAUUCUCAGCCAUCUGGUUCCUCUCACCUGUCAAAUAGCCCAGCUCUCAGAUUCUGACACAAGAAUAAAUUGCCCCCUUGUUAUGUUAAGUAAAAGAAACUAAAGUGUGAAGGAAAACGCCUUUGAAAGAGAGGCCAAGGAAGGAGUUCCUAUUGCCAAGAUUGGUCAAAAGUGGCUGGAAAUCUCUCUCUUUCAAUGCAGCGGGUUUUGACUGGUAUAAAACAGCAUUUUCCAGCAUGUGUCUCUGGGAAACCAGUUUUAUCUGAUGAGUAAUGGGUGUGAGGAGGAAAAGAUUCUCCCGUCACACAGGUUCACCAUGCUACCUCCGUAUCAAUCUCCUGAGGUGAAAUACGAUUGGCUGUGAUCUACAAACCCAUGUAGGGGCUGAUGCUCCUCUGGUUUCCUGUGAAAGAAAUAUUUACAAGAUAAGGGAUCCAAGGAGCACACUUCAGGAAGGGCAGCGUUGAAGGAUAGCUAUGACUUUGAGAAAGUAGGCAUGGGCAGUUGGCGAAUCUGUGUCGCCAAUCCACAGAUGAACCCGUCUCCACAUUUGAGGAGGAACAGAGUCGGAUUGUAGAUGCACACUUGGUGUGUCUUAAAUAUUUCUCAGUAAAAUUAUUUCUUACACUCUUUAUUGACUAUUGAUAUCAUUCUCAGUUUGAGGGUCCCCAAAGUAACCUCAGAGCCUUCAGUAAUAAUUUUCUAUCUAGAGAAUGGUGAAGAGAAUGAAAUGAAUAUUUUGAUUAUGACAUGGGUGCUUUUGGUAUCUUUAUCCUAUUUAAAUUUUGCAAUAACCCUGCUGAUGUAAGGGCUACGACCUGCAGCUCAUAAAUGAAGAUGUGGAAGAUCAGAGAGGUUAAGCAGUUUGCAGAAGGUCACACAGCCUGUAAGUGCCAGCAGGCAUUUGGAGCCAGGAACCCCUGACUUCAAGGCCCCUCCUCUUUCUCAUAUACCACUCUGUUCUUCUGCCCUCAUCAAUGGUAUAUUUUAAUUUGUGUGAUGAGCGAGUGCACUAAAAGUUGGAUGCAGCUCCACCAUUUCAAACUGUUUUAUUUUCCAU
This 9494-nucleotide long non-coding RNA is filed under the name Heterocephalus glaber (naked mole-rat). RNAcentral describes it as "lncRNA (ENSHGLG00100041172.1)". The record is from RNAcentral. Lineage: Eukaryota; Metazoa; Chordata; Mammalia; Rodentia; Bathyergidae.